RNAcentral lists this transfer-messenger RNA (355 nucleotides) under bacterium. RNAcentral describes it as "g CAIYYW01 X1 Standard tmRNA". It matches the Rfam family "transfer-messenger RNA". From Rfam's summary of the family: Bacterial tmRNA, also known as 10Sa RNA or SsrA, is named for its dual tRNA and mRNA-like properties. Its role is to liberate the mRNA from a stalled ribosome. To accomplish this part of the tmRNA is used as a reading frame that ends in a translation stop signal. RNAcentral also lists the same sequence under 1 other name. The record is from RNAcentral.
GGGGGCGACAGGUGUCGACGGGGACAGUUGAAACCCGUGGUUGCGCGCCGGGGUGCGGUUCGCCCGAAAAACAACCGCAAAAACAUAAGCGCCAACUCAUACGAGUACGCUUUAGCCGCAUAAGCGGCUACGCCCUUCUGAUCUCGCCCGAUGGGGUUAGAAAGGGCGUCAUAAACAUCGGGCUGGUCUUUGGCUCUCUGCCGAUUGGAGCUUGAGACGAGAACAAUUAUCGGCUGGCUCUUGAAGGUCCUUUCCGCGGGAGCUUUGGGAGCGAGAAAACAAACACGGAAUACGCGCGUAGGAGCUAUGGGUGGAAGGUCUUCGGACCCGGGUUCAAUUCCCGGCGCCUCCACCA